CCUACGGGUCGCAGCAGUGGGGAAUAUUGGACAAUGGGCGAAAGCCUGAUCCAGCCAUGCCGCGUGUGUGAAGAAGGCCUUCGGGUUGUAAAGCACUUUCAGUGGGGAAGAAAGCCUUGGGGCUAAUACCCUCGAGGAAGGACAUCACCCACAGAAGAAGCACCGGCUAACUCCGUGCCAGCAGCCGCGGUAAUACGGAGGGUGCGAGCGUUAAUCGGAAUUACUGGGCGUAAAGCGCGCGUAGGCGGUCUGAUAAGCCGGUUGUGAAAGCCCCGGGCUCAACCUGGGAACGGCAUCCGGAACUGUCAGGCUAGAGUGCAGGAGAGGAAGGUAGAAUUCCCGGUGUAGCGGUGAAAUGCGUAGAGAUCGGGAGGAAUACCAGUGGCGAAGGCGGCCUUCUGGACUGACACUGACGCUGAGGUGCGAAAGCGUGGGUAGCAAACAGGAUUAGAUACCCAAGUAGUC
This 465-nucleotide ribosomal RNA is filed under the name Vreelandella stevensii. RNAcentral describes it as "partial 16S ribosomal RNA". It matches the Rfam family "Bacterial small subunit ribosomal RNA", at positions 338 to 795 of the family's 1533-position model. The record is from RNAcentral. Lineage: Bacteria; Pseudomonadati; Pseudomonadota; Gammaproteobacteria; Oceanospirillales; Halomonadaceae.